AUCUUUUGAGUAUUUAUGUACACUUGCCUUCCAAGCAAAAGGAUUAAUUAACUUUAAAUAAGAUA
This 65-nucleotide transfer RNA is filed under the name Rivularia auriculata. Its description in RNAcentral is "tRNA-Gly". The record is from RNAcentral. Lineage: Eukaryota; Metazoa; Mollusca; Gastropoda; Architaenioglossa; Viviparidae.